CACACUGCCGAGAAAAGCCUCUAGAUAGAAAAUAGGUGCCCGUACCGCAAACCGACACAGGUAGUCAAGAUGAGAAUUCUAAGGUGAGCGAGCGAACUCUCGUUAAGGAACUCGGCAAAAUGACCCCGUAACUUCGGGAGAAGGGGUGCUCUUUAGGGUUAACGCCCAGAAGAGCCGCAGUGAAUAGGCCCAAGCGACUGUUUAUCAAAAACACAGGUCUCUGCUAAACCGUAAGGUGAUGUAUAGGGGCUGACGCCUGCCCGGUGCUGGAAGGUUAAGAGGAGUGGUUAGCUUCUGCGAAGCUACGAAUCGAAGCCCCAGUAAACGGCGGCCGUAACUAUAACGGUCCUAAGGUAGCGAAAUUCCUUGUCGGGUAAGUUCCGACCCGCACGAAAGGCGUAACGAUUUGGGCACUGUCUCAACGAGAGACUCGGUGAAAUCAUAGUACCUGUGAAGAUGCAGGUUACCCGCGACAGGACGGAAAGACCCCGUGGAGCUUUACUGUAGCCUGAUAUUGAAAUUCGGCACAGCUUGUACAGGAUAGGUAGGAGCCUUUGAAACGUGAGCGCUAGCUUACGUGGAGGCGCUGGUGGGAUACUACCCUAGCUGUGUUGGCUUUCUAACCCGCACCACUUAU
RNAcentral lists this ribosomal RNA (637 nucleotides) under Staphylococcus aureus. Its description in RNAcentral is "partial 23S ribosomal RNA". It matches the Rfam family "Bacterial large subunit ribosomal RNA", at positions 1601 to 2239 of the family's 2925-position model. Lineage: Bacteria; Bacillati; Bacillota; Bacilli; Caryophanales; Staphylococcaceae. The record is from RNAcentral.